This 508-nucleotide ribosomal RNA is filed under the name uncultured bacterium. Its description in RNAcentral is "bacterial SSU rRNA". It matches the Rfam family "Bacterial small subunit ribosomal RNA", at positions 28 to 528 of the family's 1533-position model. The record is from RNAcentral.
GAUGAACGCUAGCGACAGGCCUAACACAUGCAAGUCGAGGGGCAGCACAUGAGUAGCAAUACGAUGGUGGCGACCGGCGCACGGGUGAGUAACACGUAUGCAACCUACCUGUAAGAGGGGAAUAACCCGGAGAAAUUCGGACUAACACCGCAUAAUACCUCGAAGCUGCAUGGCUUUGAGGUUAAAUAUUUAUAGCUUACAGAUGGGCAUGCGUAACAUUAGAUAGUUGGUGAGGUAACGGCUCACCAAGUCAACGAUGUUUAGGGGUUCUGAGAGGAAGGUCCCCCACACUGGUACUGAGACACGGACCAGACUCCUACGGGAGGCAGCAGUGAGGAAUAUUGGUCAAUGGGCGAGAGCCUGAACCAGCCAAGUCGCGUGAAGGAAGAAGGUUCUAUGGAUUGUAAACUUCUUUUGUAAGGGAAUAAAAGAGUUACGUGUAACUUAUUGUAUGUACUUUACGAAUAAGGAUCGGCUAACUCCGUGCCAGCAGCCGCGGUAAACUCGU